RNAcentral lists this ribosomal RNA (110 nucleotides) under uncultured bacterium. RNAcentral's name for it is "partial 16S ribosomal RNA". It matches the Rfam family "Bacterial small subunit ribosomal RNA", at positions 382 to 508 of the family's 1533-position model. The record is from RNAcentral.
CCUGACGCAGCGACGCCGCGUGGGGGAGGACGGUCUUCGGAUUGUAAACCCCUUUUCCCAGGGAAGAGAUAGGACGGUACCUGGGGAAGAAGCCCCGGCUAACUACGUGC